AAUCUUCCACAAUGGGCGAAAGCCUGCUGGAGCAACGCUGCGUGAGUGAAGAAGGUUUUCGGAUCGUAAAACUCUGUUGUAAGGGAAGAACAAGUACAGUAGUAACUGGCUGUACCUUGCCGGUACCUUAUUAGAAAGACACGGCGACCUACGUGCCAGCAGCCGCGGUAAUACGUAGUGGGCAAGCGUGGUCCGGAAGUAUUUGGCGUAAAGCGCGCGCAGGCGGUCCUUUAAGUCUGAUGUGAAAGCCCACGGCUCAACCGUGGAGGGUCAUUGGAAACUGGGGGACUUGAGUGCAGAAGAGGAAAGUGGAAUUCCAAGUGUAGCGGUGAAAUGCGUAGAGAUUUGGAGGAACACCAGUGGCGAAGGCAACUUUCUGGUCUGUAACUGACGCUGAGGCGCGAAAGCGUGGGGAGCAAACA
This 422-nucleotide ribosomal RNA is filed under the name uncultured bacterium. Its description in RNAcentral is "partial 16S ribosomal RNA". It matches the Rfam family "Bacterial small subunit ribosomal RNA", at positions 360 to 774 of the family's 1533-position model. The record is from RNAcentral.